AUUGGCAUAUACUGGCUUUCUGGUCAUAACGUAGGUAUAGAGAAAGUGGAAGUUGCAUAUUAGUCUAUUAGUUUGAUUCCGCAGUUAUUAGCGAUUUCAUAUUACCUAUACAUUUUCUUAAUCGCAACAUCCAACUCUGCGGUUCGCUGUCGCGUUAUCUACAUAAAUUGACCGUUAAUCGGCGUUCGUGCGCAGAUUUUGAUGCUUUACAGCCAUUCGUGUGAUUAAACGUUAUAAAUAGUGCGAUUAUCGAAUUUUUCGGUGUGAAAAAAAAAUGAUGAUGGCAAAUGUGCCGAAAUUUUUAGCAGUAUGUCUGUGUAUUUUAACUUCUCCUGCGACGACGCAGCAGACACCAGAAGAGAGAUACAGACUGCCUCAAACCGAGUCCAAACUAGUGGAAAGAUUCAGAUGGAACCGGAUCGACUUCAGUUUUGGAAGUGAAGCUGAGAGGCGAGUCGCUUUGGAAAAUCGUUCGUAUAUUCCAAAUAACACGAUACCUUUUGGAGUGGGGAUAUGGGAAGAAAAGCUGUUCAUUACUAUCCCCAGAAGAAACCCGGGAGUACCGGCGACUUUGAAUUACAUCAAUUUGAAUUCCAGCGAUAACGCACCUUUGCUGACACCAUAUCCAGACUGGGCCUCGAACCAGCCAACCGCAGGCAACAUCGUCUCCGUCUACCGAGUCAAUAUCGACUCGUGCGACCGACUUUGGGCCAUGGAUGCAGGAUCGGUAACUGAUUUCGAAGGCAACGGUCAACGAAUCCAAUCACCUCGUCUGUUGAUCAUCAACUUGAAAACCGACCAAAUCAUAAAAUCUCAUCAACUCAACUCUUCACCCUGUAACUCCGCCUACAUCAAUAUCUUCCCAGAUAUCAGAGAUUCUUGCGAAGAUGCCUACGCCUACGCUGUCGACCCUUCUUCCAACGGCUUGCUCGUGUAUUCCCUUCAAAAAGACUCAUCCUGGCGUAAAUCUCAUCCUUACUUUAAUCCCGAUCCCUUCCAAAUGGAAUUACGCGUCAAUGGCUUGAGUUUCAGCUGGAGCGAUGGCAUAUUUGGCUUAGGUCUAACCGAACGAAGCAAACAAGGAGAUAAAUGGAUUUAUUUCCAUCCAAUGUGCAGUUUGAACGAGUUCACCGUGAAUACCCGUUUCCUCAGAGACCCGAAUGCCACCCUGACUUCGAAUCAGAUCUCAAUCGCUGCGACUAGAAAUGCCACAUUUCAAGCCGCUGCUCAAGCUUACGACGAUAAAUCCGGCAUACUUUUUUACUCGCUCGUCAAUAAGAACGCUAUCGGGUGUUGGAAUACCAGGAAACAGGGUAGUUUUGCCGCGAAUAGCGAUAUAGUGGUUUCCAAUGAUCGCACCAUGGUGUAUUUCGUCGAUGUGAAAAUCGACAAUAAUAAUUUGUGGGCUAUGAGUAAUCGACUUCCCGAAGUGAUCUAUGGGUCUGGAUUACAUUCGGAUCAACCGAAUUUCCGAGUGUUUAGCGGAUCGCUCAGGCAAGCUAUUAGGAACACCAACUGCGACGUGAAUAGGUCUUUUUGGUCCAGAAAGGUGUAAUGAAAAGUAAUUGAAAUAAAUGGCAGUUUUGACUAAAAUCGUGAUAAUUUUCAUCAAUGACGCUGCCUUUUUGAAAGUUCAAAUCAUGCUUCGACAUGAGGUGCUUCAAUCAUAAGAGAGUUGUACAAGCAGAAAGCGGACACAGCAGCGACCGGAGAUUUUGGCGCAUUAUAAGUGGACACUGGUGACCCAACAGCGGGCGAGAUCAUUUUCGACGUGCUGUUCGAAUAAUCAACCAAGUAAUUUUCACACUGAAAGCUAUGCCGAAAACUGAACUAUUGAUUUCAUUACCUAUCAACAGAAAUGAACAACGUGUUGAUGAUAAAAAGUUAUCCCACGAAAAUACCCAUCUGCAGUAAUAUCAUGGAAACUACGGAGUACUGAUGGUGACAAACUUACGUAUUUAAUAAA
Molecule: RNA transcript, 1966 nt
Organism: Planococcus citri (citrus mealybug)
Lineage: Eukaryota; Metazoa; Arthropoda; Insecta; Hemiptera; Pseudococcidae
Gene name: protein yellow-like
Exons: 3
Source: RefSeq, a predicted model, not a curated record